This 318-nucleotide ribosomal RNA is filed under the name Cleptocaccobius convexifrons. Its description in RNAcentral is "partial 12S ribosomal RNA". Lineage: Eukaryota; Metazoa; Arthropoda; Insecta; Coleoptera; Scarabaeidae. The record is from RNAcentral.
AUUAAUUAUACUUAAUUUAAUAGUUUAUAUAUCGUCGUAGGUUGAAUAUCUCAAUAGGGAAAAAAUAUUCAUAAUUUACUAUAAAUAAAAAAAAUCAGAUCAAGGUGUAGUUUAUAAUUAAGAAGAUAUGGGUUACAAUAAAUUUAUUUAAUUGGAUAUUAAUAUUAAAAAAUUAAUUGAAAUUGGAUUUGACAGUAAUAUAUUUAAAUUAAAAUAUAUGAUUUUAGCUCUAAAAUAUGUACAUAUCGCCCGUCGCUUUCAUUUAAAAUUAAGAUGAAAUAAGUCGUAACAUAGUAGAUGUACCGGAAGGUGUAUCUG